CCUACGGGAGGCAGCAGUGGGGAAUAUUGCGCAAUGGGGGAAAGCCUGAUGCAGCGACGCCGCGUGAGUGAAGAAGUAAUUCGGUAUGUAAAGCUCUGUCAGCAGGGAAGAACGUGACGUUACCUAAGUAGCAAGCCACUGCUAACUACGUGCCAGCAGCCGCGGUAUUACGUAGGGGGCACGCGUUAUCCGGAUUUGCUGGGGGUAAAGGGAGCGUAGACGGCAGUGCAAGUCUGGAGUGAAAGCCGCGGGCUCAACCCGCGGACUGCUCUGGAAACUGUAAGGCUGGAGUGCAGGAGAGGUAAGUGGAAUUCCAAGUGUAGCGGUGAAAUGCGUAGAUAUUAGGAGGAACACCAGUGGCGAAGGCGACUUACUGGAAUGUAACUGACGUUGAGGAUCGAAAGCGUGGGGAGCAAACAGGAUUAGAUACCCCUGUAGUC
This 440-nucleotide ribosomal RNA is filed under the name uncultured bacterium. RNAcentral's name for it is "partial 16S ribosomal RNA". It matches the Rfam family "Bacterial small subunit ribosomal RNA", at positions 338 to 795 of the family's 1533-position model. The record is from RNAcentral.